GAUGAACGCUAGCGAUAGGCUUAACACAUGCAAGUCGAGGGGCAGCACAAGGUAGCUUGCUAUCUGGGUGGCGACCGGCGCACGGGUGCGUAACGCGUAUGCAACUUGCCCUAUACAGGAGGAUAACCCGUCGAAAGACGGACUAAUACUGCGUAUGCUCACAACUUGGCAUCAAGUGGUGAGGAAAGAAAUUCGGUAUAGGAUAGGCAUGCGUCCCAUUAGCUUGUUGGUGAGGUAACGGCUCACCAAGGCAACGAUGGGUAGGGGAACUGAGAGGUUUAUCCCCCACACUGGUACUGAGACACGGACCAGACUCCUACGGGAGGCAGCAGUGAGGAAUAUUGGUCAAUGGGCGCGAGCCUGAACCAGCCAAGUCGCGUGAAGGAUGACUGUCUUAUGGAUUGUAAACUUCUUGUAUACGGGAAUAACAAGAGUCACGGGUGACUCCCUGCAUGUACCGUAUGAAUAAGCAUCGGCUAACUCCGUG
RNAcentral lists this ribosomal RNA (487 nucleotides) under uncultured bacterium. RNAcentral's name for it is "partial 16S ribosomal RNA". It matches the Rfam family "Bacterial small subunit ribosomal RNA", at positions 28 to 507 of the family's 1533-position model. The record is from RNAcentral.